UUGUUAUUAAUAAGCAGCCAAAGGAAGUUUUGGCUACGUGAUAUAUCCAGCUUCGAAACUGUAGGAGAAUAACAUGAAGAACACCUCUAAAAUUAACAAUAUCAUAAAAGGAUUUAACAGUAUAUAUGCCAUUAGAACUAUAAUUCCAAACAAGUUCAGCAUCUCUAUCAUUGAAAGCAAUAGAGCUAUCAAUAUUAACAAGAUCUAGUCAGUCAGAGACUUGUUCAAGGAGCACACAGAGAAUCGAACGUUGAAUUUCUCCAACUUCAGCACCUGACUCCAC
RNAcentral lists this long non-coding RNA (283 nucleotides) under Hordeum vulgare. RNAcentral describes it as "long non-coding RNA (HVUL_LNC014979)". Lineage: Eukaryota; Viridiplantae; Streptophyta; Magnoliopsida; Poales; Poaceae. The record is from RNAcentral.